Molecule: ribosomal RNA, 939 nt
Filed under: Triticum aestivum (bread wheat)
Lineage: Eukaryota; Viridiplantae; Streptophyta; Magnoliopsida; Poales; Poaceae
Description: partial small subunit ribosomal RNA
Source: RNAcentral
AUGGAGCACCCCCCAUGCUGGGCUUCGUUUAUUCCUGGCCACCAUUCUCCCGCCAACGGUCGGAGGAUCUGCUCAUCCCACAGUUCUUCCCCACCACAAAAUUCGGCGGGCGCAUUCCGGACGACGGCUGGCCGGACUUGGAGGACUCCGAGUGCGGCGUGUUGGACUGCCGGCAUGGCCGGGGACUAUGGUAAACCCAUGCCGCUCAUCGUUUGGGACCCCAUGACAGGCCGCCGGACCAAGCUGGGAGCGCCCAAAGGAUGCAAUAUGCCCUUGGACACCGACUUCGGUGGAGCCGCCGUGCUCUGUGCCGUGGCAGGAUGUGACCACCGGGCGUGCCAUCAGGGCCCCUUCCGGGUUGUCUUCUUCGGCAUGAGCACGGAUGAUGGUGCUCAUGGUAUUAUACACGUGCGGGUGUCCUCGGUGGACACGGGUGAGUGGAGCGAGCCGUGCCCUGGUCUUGAUCUUGGCGUCGAAUCAUUCAUCACGCCAGUACCCCCUGUCUUCAUCCAAGACACACUUUACUUUACACAUAAUAUUGGUGAACAUGACGAUCAAGCAGGAAUUCUCAAAUACAACUUGGGCUCUAAUUGCUUAUCGCGGAUUGAUGCGCCACGCGCAUGGCCUCUCAGGGACGAUUUCGCCAUCCUCAUGGCCAUGGAGGACGGCAGUUUGGGUUUUGCACAGGUGCAUAGGUUAACCUUUUACCUGUGGACAAGACAGACGGGUUACGAUGGAGUUGCAUCAUGGACUCAGCCUAGAGUCAUCGAUCUCAAGAACCUUCUUCCCAUCCAAAAUCCCGAUAAAAGACUUAGAUUGAUUGGGUCCGUGGAAGGCAGUGAUAUCGUUUUCGUUACCACAGAUCUUGGCGUCUACCAGAUUAAUAUAAAGUCGCUACAGUGGAAGAAGCUAUGGAAGAGAGAAAAUUCUAUAGGUUGA